AGAAUUCUUCCCUUGUGUUAAUAAUAUCCUAUACUUAACACAAACACAUGGUUAACUUAUAACCUAAAGAUCAGUAUAAAUUACUGUUGAUAAAAGUGGGUGAAACCACUUAUCACUACAUAAUAUAUGCUUCCAUUUUAAUGCUGCAUUUCAUAAAGCAAUAAAUCCAUCAUAAAACUUUGUACUUUAUGCAAGGGCCUUAUCUAAACACAUGUAUUACGUGUCCCUCCUUAGGUUUCAACCAGUGAAAAUCCACUAGGUUGUAUGAGCAACUGAAACACCAUCCAAUCAUUCUGAACUUUGAUAUCGACUGUGCUGAAGGCUUAUUUAGCACAUUAUCAGAAAUUAAGCAGCAUUAGGAUUACUAAGCAAGGAAGAAACCUGCUGUCAUUCCACUGUCUCCUGUGCUUUGUCUUUAUUAAAGGAACAAUAUUAAGGCCUAUAAGACAACUCUUCUUCUGCAAGUUACUGGAAUAAGAAUGAGUGCAAUGUCACACCAAGGAACCAACAGUGGAGGAAGAUUAAUCUUGGGUCAUCACUCAGAAAUGGUGUACAGGAAAAUGACCUAUGAACUGACAGACAAUUUGGCUAAGUCCGUCUGUCAUUUCUGUAGGCCAAUAUUCUGUAUAUCUCUUCUACUUCAAAAUCAGAAUUCAACUAAUAUGAUGCAAGCAACACAAUGGGAGAUGCACAGAAAAAAAUCUGCAACAUAAGCAUGUAUCGACUGUAAGCAGAAAAUAAAUAAUACCUGAUGAAAAUCUGCUUGUGUUUUUCUGACAAAGCUCACAUUUAUUUCACCUGGCUUAGUGACCAAUCGACCUAUGUACCGUUUUAUUGUCAUUAUUGUCAAAUAAACUAAUUUCCUCUUCUUACUAAUAUAUACAUAUGUCCACCUCCAUCACUUCAAGGAAAUUCCCUAAAAAUCUUGUUCUCUAAACACUAAAAAAAACCCCCAAAAACGAGGAACAAUGACAACGGCUUAUACACAUUCCUUAAAAGAAAACUGUACAGUGUGGAAUUUUAAAUAAUACCUGUGUAAACUUAUGUCAACUUUAAGGUAUUAAGGUAUCAGCAGUCUACAUCUGACCAAGCUCUCAAUUAUAAGAACAACAUGGGCAACACUAUUUAGCCCAAAGAGCCUUGGCUCCAAUCUGUAAUAAUACUGACGAAGUCUUACAGUGACUUCCUGGCCUCCAACCUCUAGCUUUUCUUCCUAAAAUAUACUCUCACUCCUCAUGCCUAUUUAAGAAUUUAAACUGCUUAACCUAGUAUUCAAAACUCACUACAAUUUGCCCCCACAAACCUCUCUCAGCACUUGACUUUCUAAAACCCCCCUCAACAGCGAACAGUCCCAUUAUGGCUCCUAUACAUGUGCUAUGCUUUCCCUGCUCCACACCCUCAGCUCCUGCUAAUUCCUCCGCUUGCAAAAUACUUUCCUACCUAAUCCUCAAGGCCCUACUCAAAUGCCGCAUCUUCUGUGAAGAAAGCAAACGAGCUGUUUUAUGGCGAUAUUUGCCCAAGGCAGAACCUGCAGUUCUUCCCUGAGCCAUGUUGCCAUAAGGGGUCAGGUUCCCCACGAAACAGUGACAGAAUGUAUAUUUCAAAUUGACGAAGAACUUCUACACAAAAAACACUAAGAACUACCUAAUACGUGGCUAUCGAUGAUUAAAACACACAAACAAACAAACCCACUUUAAUCAACAUUCAAAAAAAACCCUGAAACACAUGCAUUCAUAAAAGGACCACCUAAAGAAAUACUGAUAACACUGACGAUGAAAACUAGGAACUUUUUACAAAAAUUCUGAUGAACCCCAAAGUAGAAACAUGCAAUUCUACGUCUACAGUCUCUCGAACUCCCCAUCAUUACUUAGUGGCCUCCAUGCCCUCAAAAACCUUAUUGGAUCCUCAAAUGAUAAAAUGUGAAAAUAUUUAUCAAAAUGGGCUCAAACUUUUCAUUCAUGUUAAAACAUAACUUAGUAAAAUUUCCAUUAACCAGAUUAAAACAAAUUACUCAGGGGUGCCUGAGUGGCUCAGUCAGCUGAGCAUCCAACUCUUGGUUUUGGCUUGGGUCAUGAUCUCAGUUUGUGAGUUCGAGCCCCACGUCAGGCUCCACACUGACAGCCCAGAGCCUGCUUGGGAUUCUCUGUCUCUCUCUCUCCCUGUCUCUCCCCCACUCGCACUGUCUCCGUCUCUCUCAAAAUAAAUAGAUUUUAAAAAAUUACUCAAAAAAAAAGGAAAACGUAGGAUGUAUUCUUAAAAGGAAUGAUUACUAUUUCCCUGUCCACAUCUGUUAGUAAAAGCUAUACCGAAUACCGAAAACCUCCCUAAUGUACUAGAAGAUAAACUAGCUAGACUGUUCCCUCAUGAAAAGCAGGGACAAUGUCAGUCUAUACACUGCCUCGCCUCGAGAAGAGUCUAGUGUGUGGAUUAGGAAAAAAAUCUUUCCACCGUUUAAGUUUCUCUACCCUGCACUGUCGACAAUGUCCAUGUAUUAUCUUCUCAAAAGAAAAAAAAGAAAAAACCUUAAAGAAAAGAGAAGAAGCAGUUGGGAAGGUAAUCAUCACUAAAAUAAACGUUAAUUUUGUGCAUUUAACUAUGUAACAGUUUCUUAAAUUUUAAAGGAUCUAUAAAUCAUUAUACAAUGUCAUUUCUAUUCAAACAGUAGCCUGAAGUAAGAGAGGGACUCUGAUUCCUAAAGAAAAACUGCAUACUUGGAUCCCCUCCUGAACGCUGUUCAUCUUUGGAUUCCUGACACUGGAUUCUAGCACAAUGCUAGGCACACAGUCAGAAACCAUGGAUU
Molecule: long non-coding RNA, 2800 nt
Organism: Acinonyx jubatus (cheetah)
Lineage: Eukaryota; Metazoa; Chordata; Mammalia; Carnivora; Felidae
Exons: 2
Source: RefSeq, a predicted model, not a curated record